UGCAAGUCGAACGCGAAAGUCCCCUUCGGGGGACAAGUAGAGUGGCGUCCGGGUGAGUAACACGUAGGUAAUCUACCUUCGGGUGGGGAAUAACGCAGGGAAACUUGCGCUAAUACCGCAUAAUGCAGCGGCACCACAUGGUGACAGUUGUUAAAGCGGGGGAUUUUCGAACCUCGCGCCUGAAGAGGAGCCUGCGGCAGAUUAGCUAGUUGGUAAGGUAAUGGCUUACCAAGGCGACGAUCUGUAACCGGCCUGAGAGGGCGGUCGGUCACACUGACACUGACAUACGGGUCAGACUCCUACGGGAGGCAGCAGUCGGGAAUUUUGGGCAAUGGGCGAAAGCCUGACCCAGCAACGCCGCGUGAGGGAUGAAAUCCUUCGGGAUGUAAACUUCGCAAGAAUGGGAAGAAUGAGUAGGGGCUAAUACUCCCUAUGAUGACGGUACCAUUUGUAAGCUCCGGCUAACUCCGUGCCAGCAGCCGCGGUAAUACGGGGGGAGCAAGCGUUGUUCGGAUUUACUGGGCGUAAAGGGCGCGUAGGCGGCCAGCGCAAGUCAGUUGUGAAAUCUCCGGGCUUAACUCGGAACGGUCAACUGAUACUGCGCGGCUAGAGUGCGGAAGGGGCAACUGGAAUUCUCGGUGUAGCGGUGAAAUGCGUAGAUAUCGAGAGGAACACCUGCGGCGAAGGCGGGUUGCUGGGCCGACACUGACGCUGAUGCGCGAAAGCCAGGGGAGCGAACGGGAUUAGAUACCCCGGUAGUCCUGGCCUUAAACGAUGGAUGCUUGGUGUCUGGAGUUUUAUAGUCUCCGGGUGCCGCAGCUAACGCGUUAAGCAU
Molecule: ribosomal RNA, 835 nt
Filed under: uncultured bacterium
Lineage: Bacteria
Description: bacterial SSU rRNA
Rfam family: Bacterial small subunit ribosomal RNA
Source: RNAcentral